AAAAAAGUAUCGACACGUUACAAAAAGAAGAAAAGUAGUUAAUUUAACCUCACAGAUAUUUAAGAGUUCUUUGUUGAGUGAGCGGGAAAGGGUGAGUCAUCCAAUACCAUCUUUUGAAGGCGACAAAGGCUGAUAGAGUGAAAUGGACUCGCCGCAGAUCCCCUCGCAGUUAACGGAGGGUUCACGGGCACCAUCUUCUGGUGUCUCAGGCAUAUGACGCGUCAAUUAUCGUGACUCGUAGAACGAGGACAAGAGGCUACAAGAUGGAGGUUCCUCGGGAUACGGGGGCAAGGGGAUUUCUAGAAACCGUCGAAGAGGGCCGAAGCGAUAAUCAAGAGUGCUCGGAGGGUGGACUCACGUGGUGUACGGUGCCGUCGGCGGUUCUGGCAUCUCGCUUGGUCGGCCCUAGGCCGUCUCGUAUGCAGGGAGACGCGCGUCCCGACGCAGGGGGGGACGCCUUUCGCCGCCUCUCGACGUCUCACCUCGCCACGGGUACCCACAAGCAAAUCCCUGAUAAUGGCCACGCGCCCUCGCCCUCCACCUCCACAAUAUAUUCCAAGGGAAGUCUGCGAAAUUCAGGAAACAAGCUUGCCAAUUUUGAUCCAAAUAGACAGCAACCUGUGCAACAAUUUCACGAAAACGCUGGCAAGGGCAUACGUGCUCGCGGUUAACAGAAAAUACGACGACUGUCAUGGCGUCCCUCGCCCACCCCGCAGGAACUUACGCGUUUGGUGCAUCAUUUAGUCGAUUAGUUUUUCAUCGAUUUCUAUGAAAAAAUCACCCGAUAAAUAAACUUGCCAUAACGAAAAACAAAUUUCCAACGAAAUUUUCUGGAAAUAAACCGCCUAAUUGUUAAUAUGGCAAAAUGAAAUUUGUCAAGUGCUCUUUGUUAAUUCAUUCAGUAUGCGCGCGCAGCAUCCGGUUGCGCGCGUCGUUUUAUUACUUCCUGUGUUACAACCCGCCAAAUUAGAAACAUCAAAAUCUAAAAUGUGUGAAUAAUUUUAUUUAAUAAUUUUUAUUUAUCUAAAUUUCUGAUCGAAGUAUUAUGUUUGCUUAGAAGUCAAUUAACAAUAAAAGGAGAUUAAUUUCUGUAAAAAACAAUUGAUACAAACAAUUGAAUUUGUAUAAAUUAUAUAAUUUUACCGCACAGAAAGAAUUGUAAAAAUGAUAAUAUUUUAAACACAGCAACAUUUUAUUGUAAUGUUAUAAUUGUAGAAAAAUAGUUCCUUUGAAAAUGGAAAUUAAUUAAAAAUAUAAAAAGAUGGAUUGAUUAUAUUUAGAUAUAUAUAUGUAUAUAUAUAUAUAUAUAUAUUAUAUUUAUAAUUAUCUUACAUAUUUGCUAGUAAAAUAUUAUUUACAUCAAUUUGUACAUACAGCCGACCAUUCUGGUCUUUUGUGUAACAACAUAUACAGGUAUGUAUACAUACAUGUGUUAUAUCGUAAAUAUUUUGCAAUUUUUAUUUAAUAAUGAUAUGUUGGUGCAUCGAUAAAAAAAUAUUUGUAUUAAAGAUCUAAAACUAUUUUUAUAGACUUACUUCAGACAUUGGUAGUAUAAGGACAUAAUUUCAUAACAUAAUUCAUAUUCUUGCAUAAAAGGAAAUAUUGACUAGUACAGUAAAUUAUAUAAUAAUUAUUAAUUUGUAAUAUAGAAAUUAAAUAAAGAAUAUCAUUUAAACAAAACG
Molecule: long non-coding RNA, 1682 nt
Organism: Bombus huntii
Lineage: Eukaryota; Metazoa; Arthropoda; Insecta; Hymenoptera; Apidae
Exons: 2
Source: RefSeq, a predicted model, not a curated record